Molecule: ribosomal RNA, 255 nt
Filed under: Escherichia coli
Lineage: Bacteria; Pseudomonadati; Pseudomonadota; Gammaproteobacteria; Enterobacterales; Enterobacteriaceae
Description: partial 23S ribosomal RNA
Rfam family: Bacterial large subunit ribosomal RNA
Source: RNAcentral
GACAGCCAGGAUGUUGGCUUAGAAGCAGCCAUCAUUUAAAGAAAGCGUAAUAGCUCACUGGUCGAGUCGGCCUGCGCGGAAGAUGUAACGGGGCUAAACCAUGCACCGAAGCUGCGGCAGCGACGCUUAUGCGUUGUUGGGUAGGGGAGCGUUCUGUAAGCCUGCGAAGGUGUGCUGUGAGGCAUGCUGGAGGUAUCAGAAGUGCGAAUGCUGACAUAAGUAACGAUAAAGCGGGUGAAAAGCCCGCUCGCCGGA